Belonocnema kinseyi is the source of this 476-nucleotide long non-coding RNA. RefSeq lists it as uncharacterized. The record is from RefSeq and is a predicted model, not a curated record. The transcript has 3 exons. Lineage: Eukaryota; Metazoa; Arthropoda; Insecta; Hymenoptera; Cynipidae.
AUGGUCGACUUUUGCACGUCAUUCAUGUUUAUUAAAGUUGAACGUCGCCUGAUUACCAUGCAGUUGAUGCAGUUUGCAGUCAGGAUCUGUUUAUUCGCGUUAAGUUGCAUUAAGAAAGCGUGGUGCUAAUUAAUUAUCAGUUCAGAAACAUUUUAUUAGUGUUCCUCGUAUUCCUAGUGGCGUUUCCUGGUCGAAUACGGCUAGGAAAUCGUGAAAAAAUUCUGUCGGCUAAUAGAAGGAGCAUAUUCUUUCUUGUGUACGUGAGAUUCGUGCGAGGAUAUAUGGCAGGGCCAGGGUCAUCUUACAUAAAGCUCUUGGAGAGCUGGAAGUGUGGUGGAAAUAUUAUCCAAGUAUUUAAAGAAAACGAGAUCGAUGAUGAGUCAUUCGUACUACUCAGCGAUCAAGAUAUACGAGAAAUGAUUCCGCUGGUGGGGCCUCGGAGUAAAUUUAUGAAACAUUAUAAGGCCUAUUUAGGU